UAAAAGUUUGCUGGAAGACAUUCUGCCACGUGAUGCUGGCAGCAGCCACGGGCAUCUCGCGUUUAACACAGAUCUUGACUGCGCUGGGAGCCGGGGGAGAGACCGGUCUAGAAGGGGACUGUCUAGGUUUAUGGAGAAGAGGAUUCUCUGAGAGUCCGCGCUCCAAAGUCAUGCACCCUGCGACUGAACACCAGCAGUAGCAGAGUUUCCCGUGCUGCAUAUCUUCAGUAAUACUUGGUGUUGUGACUGCUUUUAAUCUGACCAAAGUGGAAAACGAUCCUCGUGGUGAUGGAUGUGGAACAGAGCCGGAAGUGCUGAUCUGCACAGCUGCUGAGCCAAGACAGGAAGGGCCCAGCACUGAAGCACACAGAUGCCUCACUUCUGCCAAGACAUAUGGAGAGGAGCCUCACUUCAGUCCGUCUUUCAAAGACAAUACCACCUUUGGAUCAUGUUACAUAGUUCAAGCUCAUUAUGAAACUGUCAAAGCCAUCCAGCUGGUCAGUGGCCUUUUGGAGAUUCAAACUAAAGAUAGCAGCACAGCAUGUCUUUCCCUCACUGCACACAUUCCACUCUGCUUCCUGGGUUCAAGGAACCAAGAAAUGUGCUCCAGUGGAAGGAAAUUCCAGAGGCUAAGCUACUGUCAAGAUAAAAUGCAGCAACACACAUUGUCCACACGUCCGUCCUUUCAUUAUGCAGGAAAUUAGCUAAUAUACUUGGAAUGCGCACUUUUCCUGCUCAAGGUUUUUAUUUUCCAUUCUUUUUCAGAAAAGUUUCUUUGUAUUAGCCUACCAAGAGGACAUCAGUAGU
Molecule: long non-coding RNA, 807 nt
Organism: Fukomys damarensis (Damara mole-rat)
Lineage: Eukaryota; Metazoa; Chordata; Mammalia; Rodentia; Bathyergidae
Exons: 5
Source: RefSeq, a predicted model, not a curated record